Molecule: transfer RNA, 76 nt
Filed under: Clostridiales bacterium
Lineage: Bacteria; Bacillati; Bacillota; Clostridia; Eubacteriales
Description: tRNA-Gln
Rfam family: tRNA
About the family: Transfer RNA (tRNA) molecules are approximately 80 nucleotides in length. Their secondary structure includes four short double-helical elements and three loops (D, anti-codon, and T loops).
Source: RNAcentral
UGGGGUAUCGCCAAGCGGUAAGGCACUGGACUCUGACUCCAGCAUUUCGUAGGUUCGAAUCCUACUACCCCAGCCA